AUUGAACGCUGGCGGCAGGCUUAACACAUGCAAGUCGAGCGGGGUGAUGGUGCUUGCACUAUCACUUAGCGGCGGACGGGUGUGUAAUGCUUAGGAAUCUGCCUAUUAGUGGGGGACAACAUCUCGAAAGGGAUGCUAAUACCGCAUACGUCCUACGGGAGAAAGCAGGGGAUCACUUGUGACCUUGCGCUAAUAGACGAGCCUAAGUCGGAUUAGCUAGUUGGUGGGGUAAAGGCCUACCAAGGCGACGAUCUGUAGCGGGUCUGAGAGGAUGAUCCGCCACACUGGGACUGAGACACGGCCCAGACUCCUACGGGAGGCAGCAGUGGGGAAUAUUGGACAAUGGGGGGAACCCUGAUCCAGCCAUGCCGCGUGUGUGAAGAAGGCCUUAUGGUUGUAAAGCACUUUAAGCGAGGAGGAGGCUCUUUUGGUUAAUACCCAAGAUGAGUGGACGUUACUCGCAGAAUAAGCACCGGCUAACUCUGUGCCAGCCGCCGCGGUAA
This 503-nucleotide ribosomal RNA is filed under the name uncultured bacterium. RNAcentral describes it as "partial 16S ribosomal RNA". It matches the Rfam family "Bacterial small subunit ribosomal RNA", at positions 30 to 523 of the family's 1533-position model. The record is from RNAcentral.